RNAcentral lists this long non-coding RNA (2791 nucleotides) under Equus caballus (horse). RNAcentral's name for it is "lncRNA (ENSECAG00000047603.1)". The record is from RNAcentral. Lineage: Eukaryota; Metazoa; Chordata; Mammalia; Perissodactyla; Equidae.
CUGAGGAGUGUGUCAUGGUCAGGCAAUAAUCGAGACUGCCAUAUGGGACUAAUCUGAUGGGACCCCCGUUGUUGACUGAAACGUCCCGAUGUAGGGCAUGACUGUACUUCCCAACUCCAAGGGCACGGAAGUGUAGCCUGUGGGGCUUUGGAAAAGAACAGAGACGCUCAAGGCCUACUCUGGACCCACUGACUCAGAAUCUACUGGGAUAGGUCCCGGCUUUAAAGACCAGACGUAGUCCUCCUCUGCAGACAUCUCAUCAACGGUUUUUCACGCUGGGUUUUCCCUCAUCUGAGAAAACAGGCCAAGAGAUUUCAGACGUGGUACUUGAAAAUAGGCUGCUAAGACUGAUGUCAAAGAGCACACUGCCUAUGUUUGCUUGUAGACGUUGCAUGGUUUCGGGUCUGACAUUCAAGUGAAAGCCGAGGGAGGAGGCUGCAGUUCCCCGAGAGCGAGCGUAGCGGGGACCCUGCGUCCCUGUCAGCGCACCUUCCCGCUGCGCGAAGGUCCGAAGCGUGUGGGCGGGGCCGCAGGAGUUCUCCCAGGAGGGUGUCCCCGUCGCUGUCCGCAGUCCACCGCCGAGGGGGGGGCGGGGCAACGGCCGGGCAGCGUCUGGGCGGCGGCGCGCGCGCGCGAGGAGAGGAGAGGAGAGGAGCGCGCGGCUGCUGGGCCGCCGUCCUGGGAGGCGUGGGAGGCGUCGGCGAGCCGCGCCUGCCUGCCCAGAGCCGAGCCCGGCGGAGUCCGGCCGCGCUGUGCUGCUCUCUCCCGGGCCGGGCUCGUCCGUUCCCCCGGCGUCCGUGGACGCCGCUCCGCGUCCCCGCUGGGCACAGCAGCCCGGGCCCUCCACAGCCACGGCCGCUAGCCUGAGGAGGCCGUCCUUCAGCUCCCGCUCUUCCUGCUCGCCGGACACGGAGGACCAGGGCGCCUGCGAAGAGGAUUCCAUCUGAGAGAGACGUUGCAUGGUUUCGGGUCUGACAUUCAAGUGAAAGCCGAGGGAGGAGGCUGCAGUUCCCCGAGAGCGAGCGUAGCGGGGACCCUGCGUCCCUGUCAGCGCACCUUCCCGCUGCGCGAAGGUCCGAAGCGUGUGGGCGGGGCCGCAGGAGUUCUCCCAGGAGGGUGUCCCCGUCGCUGUCCGCAGUCCACCGCCGGAGGGGGGGGCGGGGCAACGGCCGGGCAGCGUCUGGGCGGCGGCGCGCGCGCGCGAGGAGAGGAGAGGAGAGGAGCGCGCGGCUGCUGGGCCGCCGUCCUGGGAGGCGUGGGAGGCGUCGGCGAGCCGCGCCUGCCUGCCCAGAGCCGAGCCCGGCGGAGUCCGGCCGCGCUGUGCUGCUCUCUCCCGGGCCGGGCUCGUCCGUUCCCCCGGCGUCCGUGGACGCCGCUCCGCGUCCCCGCUGGGCACAGCAGCCCGGGCCCUCCACAGCCACGGCCGCUAGCCUGAGGAGGCCGUCCUUCAGCUCCCGCUCUUCCUGCUCGCCGGACACGGAGGACCAGGGCGCCUGCGAAGAGGAUUCCAUCUGAGAGAGGUACCUGGGGGGCGUGGGCCUGGGGGCUGGUGGGAGGCGAGCGUGUCCCGAGGAAUAGGCUUGUGCGCCGAGAGGUGCCCGUCAGGUCGCGGGACAGCUGUGCGGCGCGGGGAGCGAGGGGGUCUCUUCGUGCGCUUGAGGCGUUCGUGGAACGGGCGGUGUGUGCCGGGCACGGGGCCAGCCUGGGCGUGCGGUGCCCGGGAGUCGGGCGCUGAAGCGCCACCCGUGGUCUCGGCUUCUUGGAAGGACAGACGCGAAGUCGAUAAGGACACUGGUCUCGAGGCGUUCUGAGGAGUGCGGGUCUCCCUCUUUUCGAGGCUACGUUCCGUUGGGGUUUUCACGAAGCCUGUUGUGGGCCUGAAGCUCAGGCCGGUUCAGGGGAAGUGGCCUGUCGAGGGCCACGUAAUAUUUGUGUGCAGAGGCCAGUGCUUUCCAAAGCCCUUGACUGUGCAGAAGUCUACCUGUUAGGGGUGCAGUGGGGGCUGUCCGGGGAGCGUUGUGAGCACAGGUAUGUGCCCCACACUUGAAAGUCUGGAAAGAAAGCCGUGAGGCUGGAGGGUGCUCCGUUCGUUCCCUCCUUGCACAGAAAGUCUGGAGAGUUGACUUUGGGACAAGUCCUUCCUUUCCUCUGGUCGGUGCGUGUUCGGUGGCCUGGACACUUGGUGAGCAAGACUGACAGGGUGUUUGACGUACUGGACCUCACAGCCUGGUUGGAAAGGACAGACAGGCAGCAACCAAUUACCUAGGAGAUACGUAAAGGCACUUUCGUGUUGAGUGUUGAGAAAUACGGCAUUUUACUGUUAGACUUUGUGACUUAGGCAGUGAUGUUGAAGCUGAGAGCAGAGGCCUAAAAGACAAGGAGGACUUGUGCGGGAGAGUGUUGGGACAGGGCAAGGGAGGAGGAUGGCCUGUCAGAGGAGCUGAAAGAAUGCCCUGGAGACUGGGGCCGCCGCGUAGGGACUGUAGGGUGGGGAAGACAAAACUUUUCCAUUGAGGCUGGCGCUUUCUCUAGGUUUUUGGAGACUAAGCGUGGUGAUUCAGAACGUGGCCUCUGGAGCCAGACUCUGUCAAAUGGGUCCUGGCUCUGCCACCUACGGGCUGUGUGAACUUGGGCAAGUUACUGUGCCAUUCUGUGUGUCAGUUUCCUGAUCUGUAAAACGGGGAUGGUUAUCAUACACACUCCAUAGGUGAGUGUAAAGGUGAGAGGAUAUUUCAUAUCCGUAGAGUACUUAGAGCAGUGUCUGGCCUUAGUAGGCGUUAGUAGUGAUUGA